AUGGGAAGUGUGUUACAAGCUGGUGUCCCAAGGAAGCUGACUCUGGCGAUUAGAGCACGAGCAUUUAAUGAGAAUUUCCCCUCAUCAAUUCCACAUGCCUUCCAGAUCUACUUGAAUAGUUUGUACACAGCUCCUUGUGAACAGCAGACAUCUGAUCAAGCAACUCUCCUCUUGUAUGCAUUGCUCCAUCAAAAUAGUAGUAUUAGAACAUACAUGUUGGCUUGCACAGAUGGAAAAUCUUGUUUUACCAAUUCUUGAGAUUCUGUAUCAUGUUGAAGAAAGGAAUUCUCACCAUGUGUAUAUGGCCGUUAUAAUACUGUUGAUCCUUACAGAAGAUGAUGGCUUCAACAGAUCCAUUCAUGAAGUGAUACUAAAGAAUAUUACUUGGUAUUCAGAACGAGUUUUAACUGAAAUCUCCCUUGGGAGUCUCCUGAUCCUGGUGGUAAUAAGAACCAUUCAGUACAACAUGACUAGGACAAGCGACAAGUACCUUCACACAAAUCGUUUGGCAGCUUUAGCAAAUAUGUCAGCACAGUUUUGUUCUCCCCAUCAGUAUGCUGCCCAGAGGAUCAUCAGUUUAUUUUCUUUGCUGUCUCAAAAACACAACAAAUUUCUGGAACAAGCCACACAGUCCUUCAGAGGUUCGCUGAGUUCUAACGAUGUUCCUCUACCAGAUUAUGCACAAGACCUAAAUGUCAUUGAAGAAGUGAUUCGAAUGAUUUUAGAGAUCAUCAACUCCUGCCUGACAAAUUCCCUUCACCACAACCCAAACUUGGUUUAUGCCCUGCUGUACAAACACGGUCUCUUUGAACAAUUUCGAACUCAUCCUUCAUUUCAGGAUAUAACGCAAAAUACUGAUCUGGUGAUCACCUUCUUUAGCUCAAGGUUGCUACAAGCUAGAGCUGAGCUGUCAGUGGAACGGGUCCUGGAAAUAAUUAAGCAAGGUGUCGUUGCACUGCCCAAAGACAGACUGAAGAAAUAUCCAGAACUGAAAUUCAAAUAUAUGGAGGAGAAGCCUGAGGCGUUUAUUAUCCCCUAUGUCUGGUCUCUUGUCUACAACUCAGCAGUCGGCUUGUACCGGAACCCUCAGGCCAUCCAGCUGUUCACCAUGGAUUCCGACUGAAGGCAGGACGCUCUGCGGCCCGACCCCUCCAGCCAAGCAGCCCUUCACGUCAGUUCAUUUCUGGGUAACAGAAGCAGACAGACAGAUUGCCUGCGGUACCUUCUGUUAAAGAGGAUGGCACAAGUGUGUUUUCCUCAGACACUUUGAUUUGGAGAACUGGUGCCAGUUGGCAGUAGAUCACUCAGCGUAGAUAGUAGUGCAAAAAGGGGAGGAAAUACACAAUAAUAAAUGUAAAAACCUGCUA
Sapajus apella (tufted capuchin) is the source of this 1367-nucleotide RNA transcript. It is a transcript of the gene named dymeclin pseudogene, with no coding region annotated. Lineage: Eukaryota; Metazoa; Chordata; Mammalia; Primates; Cebidae. The record is from RefSeq and is a predicted model, not a curated record. The transcript is spliced from 2 exons.